CUCUGCCAGAAAUUAUCACUGUGUUCAAGGAAGACCCAGGCCCAAAUAAAGCUGCUAUGUCUAAGGUCAGCCCCUUUUCCUCAGCUUUUCAAGUUGGCAGUCAUCUAAUAUUAAAGACCAAGCCAAAGUCCCGCUCACCUCUGAAGAAGGGAAAGAUACACAGGCUUGUUGGUUCGCUCGGCAGUAGCAGUCCAUGAAAGGGCUGAAGCAGCUGACCUUUCUCCUCGGCACACCUACAAGCCAGGGUA
Molecule: long non-coding RNA, 248 nt
Organism: Alosa alosa (allis shad)
Lineage: Eukaryota; Metazoa; Chordata; Actinopteri; Clupeiformes; Clupeidae
Exons: 4
Source: RefSeq, a predicted model, not a curated record